RNAcentral lists this unclassified non-coding RNA (10149 nucleotides) under Leishmania donovani. RNAcentral describes it as "gene:LdHU3.03.0300(CDS-product:hypothetical_prote in_conserved)". The record is from RNAcentral. Lineage: Eukaryota; Euglenozoa; Kinetoplastea; Trypanosomatida; Trypanosomatidae.
CAGCUCUCGCCAGCACGUUGUGCUGCUGCCGCUGGCGGCCAAAGGAAAAUCUUUCUUUCUGCUCCUGUUCCCUCUUCCAUUGUUAGCUAACAGUCAUUCUCCAUUCCUCCACUGGGCCGUGUGCCACCUCCGAUCACGGAACACACAGACACCCCACCCUCACUCCCUCUUCCGUAUCUCUGAGUCCGCGCCUUCACAAGCUGCAACUCUCGGUCGUCGUUUCUAACCCGUUGCCAUCGUGCGUGCCGUCACAUCUCUGCAUCUCUCGCGCCCGUGUACGUACUGGUGUGCACGCGUGCCAUCCCCCCCCCAUCCUACCCUGUGCGCACCCCUGGCCAAUAGCCCUGCCCUUCUUUUCCGCCUUGACACUCCAGUAGUCCUCUUCUCGGCCUCAACGUAUCUGUCAUCCACCUCGUCAGCAGCACCGUCUGUCGCGUGAACGCAGCGCGACCGUGUGCCAUCAGCCGUGAGCGGCGAGAGGACAGACUGCCGCUCACCGACAAGCAAGCCGGAGGCGGACAGCGAAGAGAGAAAAACGAAAGCGAGAAGGCGAAGGGUUGUACGCGGACGACGUUGGAAUCGCAAGAACGCGCCCGCACGCAUGCGCGCCGCCGACAACGCGUCGCGACGGUAGCUUCUCUGAUACCAUUGCGGCUGUGGUGCUCACAGCCCUGCUCUUGCCGUCGCCCUCCACCUCUCUGAGUUGAUGUUGUUGUGGAAUCGGGUGCCUGAGCAUCACCGCCACCCCACUUCCCUCCUCACCUUGGCUGCACGGCACUCGGCAGGGCUUCCGCCGCACGGGUCGAACCGGCAGGGCGGUGAUGCGACUCUGCUGUCCCGGCAUACGCGGCCUCCCUUGUUUGUCCUUUUUUUUUUCGUUCGUUUCCUCUUCUUCUAGGGUGGGGUGGGGAGUGGCUGUUGGCUUCCCUCUCGGAGCGUGUGUGUGUGUGUGCGUGUGUUCACCUAUUGGCCGAGUUUCGCGUGGCACGCACGCACCGGCCGUCCCGGCUCACAUCUAUCAGCCCUUGCGUUCAACACUCAACACUCCACACACACGCACACGCACACACAUCCCCUCCCCUUCUCUCUCUAUCGGCCCGCUGUUUUCGUGGUGAUCAUUGUCGUUGUGCGUUGUCGAUCAAGUAGAACACGUACGAAGGUGACGUGUGUCGCGCUCUGGACUGUACUCCGCCGUGCUUGCUCGCCGCCACCAACAUCUCUUCCUGCUCCUGUUUCGCUCUCUCUUUCCCACAUACUAGCUCCUUUACUUGCUUGGCUACAUCGUGUUGCGUCCUCCGCACAUAUAUUCCUCUGACUUCCUUGUCUGCCUCUCUCCGUCGCUCGCGCACGCGUCCGUCCGCGUCACGCUGCUCCGAAGAAAAUACGAGCACGCCGUCGCUCUUCCGUGCGUUGUGUAGGUUUCGCUGUGGCAAUUUCUUUUUUUUUCUCUGUUCGGCGUUGCGUGUCUUUACAUCGCCGUCGUUGUCGUUCCUCCUCUGCUGCUUGUGUGUGCGCCUGUCUGUGAGCGCGCGCUCGAAACUUCAUUUGCUCUGCUCCUCCUCACCCCACAAGCCCGAUCCUCGCCACUGGAGACGCGCACUCCGCCCUCUCUUUCAGUUUUCCCUACAGCAUCGACCCCCUCCCCCACUCCCCGCCCUCUCUCUCUCCCUGUACGUGCGUGCGUGUGCGUGUACUUGAGCCGCAUCUCGUGUCGCGGAGCGCUUCUCUUCGGUCGUGUUGCGUCUCUGUUGUGUUUUGUUCCCGUUGUGAGACCUCCAGGCGUGGGGCACCUGCGCCCCCUCCUGUCCUUCGGUGGGGCACACACGCACGUGCACACGCACCCGCAUCUCCGCAACCCUGCUCUGUUGUGCCGUUCUCUUGGGCAUUGUUUUGGCGCCAUCUCUUCCCCCGUCCCCGUCUUCCCUCCGCCUCCGCCCUCUUUCCUGUUCGUGUGCGCGCGUGUCUGCGGACGCUGUCGGCAUCAGCGAGACGCGCGCACGCGCCCACGGGAAGGAACACAUUCGCAGAGGCGCUGCACCACAACGAAGAAUCCGCUCGUUUCCGUCACUGGUGCGUCCGCGCUUACCUACGCCUUGUCCACGGUCCAUCGCUCGCUACUGCGGCGUACUGUGUCCACGUCACGCAGGCCGCCCUUCUCCUCCUGCUUCUUCUCCGCCCGGCGUGUAUCCACUCGUCUUAGGCCUUGGCUUUUUCUUCUUUUUUUCUAUACCCCCGAUCGCACUUCCGGCUGCCCCCUCCCCCUGUACACGGGCUCACACGUUCGCUCCUUCACCCCUCCCCCCCCAUACACACACACACAUCCCCCUGCCUCUUCCUACGGCUUUCGUGUUCGCUUAUUGCUUGUUGUUGGUCCCUCUCCGUCCUCCCAGUGGCCGCCGUCUUCGUCCCGCUUCUCUCUGCCUGUGUGCGUGCACGUGUCUGUCUGCGGGAACGCCUCUUGUUCGUUGCUGUUCGUUUCUUCUUCGAGGCGUGCGGGAGGGGGAGCGGGGAGGGGACGACGGCGUGAGCAGCAAGAGCGCGCACGCCAGCCUGCAUCUGCCAAAGCCUCCCACCCCUCACCCUCUUCCCCGAUCGCCACACGCGGUGUUGGAGCGCGCAGCCCUCACACCGCGUCUCGCGCGCCCUGGCAUCUCCCUCCUCCAUUCUUGUACACACGUCUCUCCUUACCUUUCGUGUAUCAGUCAUUGACUCCACCCGUUUCUUUUUUUUUCUUUCGCUCGUUGCUGCUGCUGUUUUCCCUGCGCGUGUGCUUCGUUGUCUCCUCCCUUGUCUCAGCGUCCCCCGCUGCCGUAGGCUCGAAGACGUCGCCACGACGGCUGCGUCAUGCACGAUUGAAGCCUCCUCCUUUAUUCAUUGGCUUACGUCUCCUGCGUGCGUGUGCGUGUGCGUGUGCGUGUGCGUGUGCGUGUGCGCCAUCACCGUACCUCUAUUCUUCUACGUCUUCGUCUCUAUCCUCCACACACACACACACACUCCUCCCCAUCUUCCCCGUGCGCGUGUGGUGUUGUGGGGGCGCACGUUGUUCCGCUACGGCAUGCGUCCCCGCCCACCGACACGCGCCCCACCCCCUCCCCUCCCCUCCCUCCCCCUUCUAAAAGUGGCGUCCUGUCGCGCGAACAAGAGCAGUGCGCACCUCAAAACUGAGACGAGGACGCAUACCCGAUGCAGGCAUCCGCAGACAGCAACAGCCCCACGCGCCCCCUAAGCGCAGCCGUCGCGGAGGCGGCAGCACCGACGGCGGAACGCUCCGCCGGCGUCAUGGCGGAGGGCACCAGCGGCAACACCGCCGCUGUUCCGACCGGCGCUAACACCAGCGACACUACAAGGGCUGUCGAACACGUUGUGGAUGAACGCACGCCGCCUCUCGUCGCUGCGCCGGCGUCGUCAGCGGAGGGGCUAGCCAAGCUCCUCGCCAUGUGCCUCGAUCGCAUAUGCCGCCUUGAAGAGCGGCAAGCGCACGGAGAGGCGCGGCAGUGCAUCUUCGAUACCGCCCUAAAAGCUCUGUUCAUGCAGGCAUACGGGCGGCAGCCGCAGCAGCAGUCAUGUCGACAGGCAGCUGUAGAAGCGCACGGUGAGGAUGGCGAUGCCAAGGGCAGUGACGCACACGAUCGUGAGCGCAGCGAGCAGUAUCUCUGCAGUCGCCAUACCACCAGCUGUCGCACCUCGCCGUGGUCGCACGUGAAUCGACCAUCGGCUCUCGGUGGCAGCAGCAACAGCCACCACAGCGACGAUGGCUAUGAUCGCGCAGCAGCGUCAUCGGAGUCGCACUCACAGCAGCGCUGCCGCCGGCACCGCCCACUCCGCUACACGCAGGGAUCUGACAUGCACAGACCGUACGGCGCCGACGCGCCGGCCUCUUCUUCGUUGGAGUCCACGGCGCCCGCUGACACAUCCGCUGCUGCUGCUACUGCUGCGGGGGCAGCUGUGAAGGGAAGCGAGAGAGACAACGUCCACAUGAAUCACAGCACUGGCAGCCAACAUCACCGUCACCAGAGCCCUGGCGCUGUAGCAUCCACAGGCGCGAUCCCUUCGCCGUCCCCUGCUGGCCUCGCCAACACCAAGUGGAAGGAGGCGAGCAGUGGCACUGGCGCAGGUGUCGGGGGCGGAUGUGCGCAUGCUGUCCCCUCCGCAACUGCUGCUGGCAACUACCGGAAUACACUCACGGCAUCUGCGGCGGUAGCGAGUGGCAGCACCAACGAGCCGCCGAUGAUAUCGCACUUUGGUUCCUCUUCCGGCGGCGGUGGCGGUCGCCAGCGGCAGGGCUCUCUCGUCACAGUUGUCAGCCCAACGCACACGUCACAGGCGGAGGCGCACGCCAUCGCGGCGUCGGAGCUGAUCUCCGCUGGCGCCAGCAGUGCCCCUGCAAGCGCAACGCCAAUGAACGGCUUCACAUGGGCAGCUCCAGUGACGCUGUUCUCUUCGUCGGAGAACUCUCGUUGCUCUACGCCGGUCGAGUUCCACAUGUCAGCGCGUUCGUUAUCCCAGCAGCAGCAGCAGCAACCCCCCACGCAGCCGUCGACGGAGGAGUGGUCAUCGUGUAACAGCCGGCACCUAGCAGAACGCGCUGAAGAGAUCACUCAUGAUGGGCCAGACAUUGCUCCUUCGGCGCAUCCGCAGCAGCAGCGUGGCAGCCGACGGCACCUACGCUCGUCGCUCACGCACCUGGCACCCCUCGCCGAUCACCCUCAGCAUCCGUCAGCACGGCUCCAUCUACAGCCGACAUAUCGCAAAGGCGAGGAGCGCGAGGACCGCGAGUCGAGCUCUUCCUCUAGGCUCGCCGCCACGGCCUUACGAAGCGCCGGCAGUACCGCGACCAGCUCCGCCGCGCACACUGGCGAUGAACUGGACGCGCUCUACCACGCGCUGAGCACCCCUCAUCCCACCGCAUCUUCUCCUGCCUCCUCAGAGUCCGCAGCCACCAGCGGAGUUCAGGCAACUGGGAUGCCGCCUCGCAAGGUGCAGUUUCCUGUCGGCAUGGACAACACUACCGCUAUCAACGAGUUGUUCGCCCAGGCAGUGCAGAACACGAUGGAGACGACACGUAUGAAGGAUAACCUCACGGUUCUCGUGCGCAGCGUGCGCGAGGAGCGCGAGAAGCGGCGUCGGCUUCAGCGGCGCGAGGGGUCAGCCGUUCAGAGGCUCUUUCAACGGGUCUUGGAAAUGUCGUCGGUGAUGUUGCGGCUGCAGCGGGCAGUGCGACGGCUAGCGCUGGAGGCAAGCAGCGGUCGCGCCGCUGAAGCUGCAGGCUGGCACCACCACCACCACAACAGCAGCCACCGUCGGCGUCGUGGUGUGGAUAGCAGCAGGAGCGCCGGCGUCGGCGAUCAGGGCGAAGAUGGCGCUACUUGCGAUGGUGACGUCGACGACGGUGAGAACGAGUGGCACGAGCACUUGUGCGCGUCCUUCUCGACGGCCUCCGUGGCCAUCUCUCGCAGUCGCAGGAGCUGCAGCGUCAGCGGAAGCGGCCAUCGACAAAAUAUCAGUGACCGCUCGGGGAACGUCGGGUACGCGGCCCUCGCGGCGCCGUUCUCCUCGUGCGGGUCUCUCUCCGCCGGAUGUGAGCGCGUCGUGCCGGCCGUCGGUUCGCCGUGGCUUUCAUCGCUCAGCACGCAGUGCUCAACGGACGUGGCGCGCGGUGAGGCCAUUCCAGGCCGCGGUGGUGCGGCGACCACGGGCACAGCCACCAGCACGCCGGUAGUCGACGGUGUGUGCAACACGCCGACGUCGCCUGUCCCAUCUGGUACGCUUUCUUUUCAGCAACUCGCCGGGGCCACUGCUGUAACGGCAGCAGCGGCCCUUCCCAAGAUCAUCUCCAGCAGCAGUUCUCUCCAUUCCUUGGUCACCGCGAGCGCCGCCAUCACCACCAAUGUGAACACUACGACAGCAACUACCAUCACCACAACGGCUACGACAUCACGAGCAGCCAGCGCGACGUUGGUGCCGCAGUCGAUGGUGUCAUCAUUGGUGAGCGUGCCACGGCAAGAGCGCCCGCCCUCGCCGCUGCUGUCGCCGCCCGCGAUGCUGGACGUGUGCGCCACGGAGAGCAGGAGCAGCGCCGUCACCAGCGACUCAUCCGUCGUGCCGGCGCUGUCCAUAACGGACGUGCACUUCGGGCUGGCGCUCUCCCUGCACGCCAGUGCCGCCGAGGCCGAACUCCCUGCUCCGGCUCCCGCUGCUGCGGCGGGCCGCGGCAGCGCUGGCCCCCGUGCAGAGGGCGCCAGGAACAGCACGACCCCUGAUGCAGACGCGUGUAGUGGCGGCCGCUCGGGUCAGCGGUCGGAGGUGUAUGGUGCACAUCCCGACGGCGUGAAGGUCACGGAGCCGCAGAAGGCGCAGCGGCAUCUCACACAACCGCUGCAGCAACAACAACGCUGUCAAGACGUAUCCGGUGGGUCGUCGGCUCUGUCGUCUACCUCUUCGCGGUGCCGCCAACGAGAACACAGCAUGCGGCGAGCAGCCCCUGGGGCUAUCGCCACGACGGCGGUGCCGAUGCCCAUUCCUGGUGGGACCCAGCACUCUUUCGCGAGGGCGCGGCACCCACCUGCGCCGCCGCCGCCGCGGCAGGCCACCUCGUCGCGCAAGAGUCCCGCAUCUGCCUUCGCAGGCGCGAGCUCGGCUGCGGCUCGUGGAAGCAGCAGUGGCAGCAGCAGCGUGUCGGCGCGGCGCCUGCUCGAUGAUCUAAACAGCGAGCACCGCAGCGGCGCCGUCACCGGGGCGAGUACCGUCGUGGACGUCGCCGCUGAAGUCGGCACCAAGGGCCACGGUGGCAGCAGUGGCAUUGGGGCUGUAAACACGACGACCGCUGCCAGCGCCGACUCCCCUGUGGCGUCGCUGGCAUCCUCCGUUGCCGCACUCAAGCUCACCGGCUCUGCAGCCAGUCUAGUGUGCCGCACGUCGAACGCCGCGACGGCGACGACACUGGCUCAGCCGGCAAGCACACCGGUGACAGCCAGGCCGCGAUCAAGGCAGCAGAGGAGCGAAGCCAGCGUUGCCAAGCCGUCACCCGGGCGGCGAGAGGCGAGGCGGCCGUGGAGCGGUCUCAUCCAAUCUGCCGGCUCCGCCACACCCCGCAGCAAGGCACCUGCUGCCGAUUGUCGCGGCAACAUGAGGGACGAUGCCUGCGGUGCGGACGCGGCGGGUAGCACUGCCCUGCAAGGCCGCGAAGACCUGCCGACAUGGCGCGACGCGGCUACCAGCGCAUCGCCCACACAUAGCAGCAGUGAUCGCAGCCCCAGCUCGCACCCGCAGCACAGUCUGUUAUCGUCGUGGCUACAGAGCCCUCCCGUCCGAGUGGCAACGGCCGCGGGCGGUGACGACAAGACCAUACUGAGCCCCGUCACGCCAACCGGUGUCACUGCCAUGACCGCCGGUGGUGAGAGACGGUGCCGACCCUCCGCUGGCGCACAUCGGUCCCACAGCAGCAGCGGAAGCAUCGCCUCUACACCACCACGACGGCUGAAGGCCCCGCUGGCCCCCUCUCCGACCAGCACCGCCGCCGUCGGCGCGCUCCUCGCGCGCUUCUCGUCGCGGAGCUUGAAGUUUCAGCAGACGCAGCCCGUUGUCCCCAUCGCGGUCGCGCAUCAUCCGCGGCAGCUGCUGCAGACGACUGCCACCUCUCACCAGGCGAGGAAGUGGACCUCCAUUCCCUUGCUGUCGUCGGCCACGGUGUCAGGGACGCUGCCACACGUGCCGAUGGUGGCGUCCGUGAAGUCGGCCAGCAGCUUCCUACGCAUCACUCCGAUCCUUCUCUCAUCAAGUACGGCCCACCCGGCCUCCCCGGUGUCGCCCCUAGUCACCGGAAGCUCCGCGUCUGCGGGGACUGGUGCUGGUGGCAGCGGCGCGACCCCUGGGCGCCUUCCCGCGUGCAUCGCGCAGCCCGUGUCACCGCUCUCGUCGACGAGCCGCCUCGGCCAGUACCACCGCCCGCACUCCAGCAGGGCCCUGCACUUCAGUACCAACUGCAGCGGCAACAACAUGAACGCCUCCCUCGCGGCGCCCUGCACGCCGCCUCCCACGCCACCGCACGGCCACCCGCCGAGCCUGGCGCACCAGCAGUCUCGUGAUGCGGCGGUGCAAUCGCAGCAUGCAGUCGUCCUUUCCCGCAGCGCCGCCGCCCUCAUGCAGACGACGAAGACGCUACCACGCGUGGUCGUGUCCCCGCCCUCGCCGUCACGGUCGCCGCGUGUGACACCCUUGAGUGGUCCGAGGCGCACCAAACCACUGACCCCAGCAGCGGCAACGCCAGCGUCAUCGCAGCCGGCGCGAUCAGGCUACGAUGCUAAAACCCUGGCAAGGGCUGCCGUAUCCCCGACCGGGAAGACACAGCAACCGGCCAACUCUGCCAAGGUCUGUGGCAAGGCAAAACAAGCACCGCCAAGCUCACCUCUUGCCGGAUGCGAAAGUGCUGCUGUGGCAAGAGGUGCUGUGACGCACCAGCAAGCACUCUGCUCGUCAUCUCUCGUGGCCCACCACCCGUGCUCGAACCCCCUACAGCUAACAGAUGAUCCCGGCCACCGACAGCAGCAGCGGCUGCAGACGUCGUGCUCUGCGCAGGAGAGACGCAGCAGUCGACGUGCUCGCGCGGGUCUGCCGCCGCCACUGUCCGUUGAAACACUCUCAGACGCAUCCGUCUCCGCGCUGCGCACGAGCAGCGUGGGGACAACCGGGUCGAUGGACGUCGAGAAAGGCGUUAAGAAGGGCGACGUCGGUGACGGCGUGAGCGGGCUAGCGAUGCACAAUCAUGGCGGGGGCAGCUGCGCCACACUGGUCACCCUCUUUGCCGUCGCAGAUGCUGGUCAAAACCGAGGCUACUCGGCGCAGCUGCACGCGCCGGAGCUGAUCGCGGAGGGGGGGCAGGAAAAGAGCGGUAGAGAACGAUCAACGCCUGCCGCUGCGGCGGUGACAUCGUUGCCGGCUACCCCGACUGCAGUGGCGGCCGCAAGCGUGGCCGGCGUCAUGCGCAGCGCCAACCGCAUUAGCAGCGCCUCCGAUGCCGACGUGGACAGGGCCGCCGGUCUGGAGGCCGGAAAGCAUGUGGAUAACGACGACGACAGCUCUUUCCAGCACGCACUCCGACGAAUACCGUUGCAGCCGCAGCAACAGCAGCAGCGCCGGCGACCUCUGGGCGACGUGAACGCUGCAGAGCAGCCACCCAUUUGCUUUUCCUUCCUGUUCGACGCCAGCACACCUGUUUCCAUGCUCUCGAGCGCGCUGCAGCGCAACCGAAGCUCCUUGAGCCAGCAGCAGCAGCACCACUCACUGGCCGCUGCCAGCGUUGGUCCUGCAUCUGCCAUGCACAACGACGCAUCGCACGGCUCCUCCGCCUCGUCUUCGCAUACGCCGACACCCACCAUGACGUCUCCCUCCGACACGCGCUCCUCGUAAAUCGAGAGUGUUAAAGGUGCCGGUCGGUGCGGUGUAUGGACUUUUCAAGGCGGACGAACAGAUAGCGGCGGAGGGCGACGUCGGUGCGCCUACACACGCGUGGCGAAGGCUGUCGCGCACCCCGCACAUACACGCACACACAAGCAUGCAUACAUGUCAACGGUGGAGUAGCACCCCUCCCCUGUGUGCUGCAUCAUGCCCUCUCUCUCCCAAUCUCUUACCCUCAGCUGUCCAUUGUAUACUCUUUCGGGGAGUUGUUUGCUUCGCGUGCUUGGCGGUUGGGGUUCGUGUGUGUGUGUGUGUGGUGAUGGUGGUGGUGUGCAUGUGUGAUUGCACGGUGACGCUGAUGGAGGAUGAGGAUCAUCAUGAGGGUGGCAACUACACGUCCGCGUCUCGGAGCUCGUCGCUCAGACGGAGAAACCAACAGAGAAAAAAAAACACCAACGCAGCCGACGCUGCAAAGGCGAAGGCACUGGAUGUAUACGCGUGGGCGCAUACCUGCGUGUCUGUGGAACGCGAGCAUCACGCAGGCAAGCAGUAUGCCCUUCCUUUUGAGGCGGCGUGUGGGGACGCCACAAGGUACACCUCGGCGUCGCCUCCGUGCGCGCAUGUGUAUGCGCGAGUACGCACAUGCUCAGCCUCUACCUUUCUUCUUGUUGUGACCUUCCCUGCGCCCCCUCCCCCUUCACCACCGACCAACACACGUACAUCUCUACGUCCACGCGCCCGCCAUGCACACCGAAG